UACGUAGGGCGGCAAGCGUUGUCCGGAAUUAUUGGGCGUAAAGAGCUCGUAGGCGGCCUGUUGCGUCCGCUGUGAAAUCCCGGGGCUCAACCCCGGGCCUGCAGUGGAUACGGGCUGGCUAGAGGCAGGCAGGGGAGAACGGAAGUUCCUGGUGUAGCGGUGAAAUGCGCAGAUAUCAGGAGGAACACCGGUGGCGAAGGCGGUUCUCUGGGCCUGUACUGACGCUGAGGAGCGAAAGCGUGGGGAGCGAACAGG
RNAcentral lists this ribosomal RNA (255 nucleotides) under uncultured bacterium. RNAcentral's name for it is "partial 16S ribosomal RNA". It matches the Rfam family "Bacterial small subunit ribosomal RNA", at positions 524 to 776 of the family's 1533-position model. The record is from RNAcentral.